GGGCCCUCCGGAGGAAUCACCGGUCGCCUUGCCUUUCCCUCCCUUCCCCAGACACCCACCAGAGAAGCGGCCCCUGCGCGCUCCCGGCGAGGCCAGGCCCGGGGCGGGAAGCGGGUGGGGACCAGGCGCGACGCACGAAAGCCCCCUGGCCAGCGGCGCCUCGGAACCUCCAGGUCAAGGCUGCAAGCCGGCUUCUGCUCCCCCCGUGAGGCCCUUCUAUGUCCGGCUGUGCGGUCAGCGCCUCCCGAGCGCCGGGCGCUAUCAAAGCCUGCAGCGACGGCGGAGCCGGAUGCUUGAGGCCUGGCUGCUUCCCGCCCCACAACCCCACCUCUGUGGGGGCAACACCUGAAUGCCUGAAUGUCACAAAUCUCUACCCACCCCAUCUGUGUACCACCUGUGUCUGGUGCCCGCAGGACAGGACCGUCACCAGCCUCGUCUCAGACCCACAGCCCCCCGCCUGUGUCCUGUCGCAGCCACCUUGCACUUGAUGGAACCUCUGGGGUCUGCAGGGACUGCAGCCCUGGCCUGCAAGGUGCUGGCAGAGACAGGAAGUGCUGGGUUCCUACCCCAAACUCACAUUCCCACACCUCACCCUUGGGAGCAGGAGGAUGACACUGGAGAAGUGGCCAUCCUGUCCCACUGGAAGCGACCAUCAGAGUCAACCCUGGGCUUGCCACCUGAAGAGUCCCACCUGCUGGAGCAUGGCCCUGGAGACUCACUUGGAGGAAAUGCAGCGCCCCCUCCCCGCUACAUGCUCAGAUGCAGGAGGUGGGCAGGCCCAGGCAUCUCUCUCUCCCUCCCUAGGUGCUAGGCUUUACUUGGGGCUGAGAUGGCCACCUGGGAUUGGACUAAAGUUCAGAGAAGAGGUCCUCACCAGGGAAAAUGCUCAAGUGGGUGGGCAACCAGCUGUCACCAGACUGCGGCGGGCGUCCUGGUGACACCCUUCUAGCCUGGGGGUGGGCUCUCGGCCUCCCAUCGCCCCCAACAGCUCUGCCCCCCAGAAAUCAAGCUUCCAGGGCUGCAGCCUUGGACAGGCUGUGAAAGGAAGUGAGGCCAUGGCCAAAGGAAAGCAAUGCACACCUCGUGUAAGAUGAUUUAUUUCAUUUAUCAACAACAUGGGGGCCGAAAAGCCCAGCUAGAGGGCAUCAUUUUAUCACAGAAUCAGCCUCAGGCAACCUGAUGGAUCUCUCUCCCCCUCCGGCCCUGGGAGCUGCUAGGCAGGCGAUGGGCUCAGCACGCCCCCUCCCUGCCGACGAGAGGGACAAGAUGUGCCCUGGCCCCCUCACCAGGGGCCAGUCCCCAGGUCCCUUGGGAGAAGGGCGCCCUCUCGGCCCAGUAGGAACCAGAACCAGGGAGCAGGGAGGCCAGGACAGCUGGUGGUGGCACAGCCCGUCCCUGCUGAGGAGGAGAGAGCCCGGUGAACUUCAGGGGACCGAGCCCUUCCCGAAGGUUUCCCACUGUGGGGUGAUCCACAGCCACAGGUCUGCAGGGCCCCAAAAAUACCUGCCGAUGGGAGGUGGCGGGAGGGAAGGCCGCUGCUAGCCUGGGGUCAAGUGCUCCAGGGCAAAGUGCUGUGGGGGAAGCUGGGAGCUACCACCCCCCGCACCCCCGACCUGGCCUGGGACCCUAGUCCUCACUGGAGUUGUCGAACUCCUCCCAGUCAGACACACUCAUCACCUCAGAGGCGAAGUCCGGGUCGGCCUGGCUGCGGUCAGGCGUCCCGCGGGGCGGCUCAAGGAGCAGGGACCGCGGCAGGGUGAGCACGCAGGCCGCCAGGCCCGAGAUGGAGUUGUCCAGCUGUGGGCCCUCCUCCCAGCAGUCCUUCUCCACGUCAUAGAUGUGCACAUAGCCAGUGCGGCUGCCCCGGUUGUGCGAGCGGCCACCCAGCACGUAGAUCCUGUUGUCUAGCACAGCGAUUCCGGGCUCACCGUGCCCUGCUGGGAGCGGGCAGACGGAUGACCACUGCCCGGACUUGCAGCUGUAGCAGGCCACCUGCAAGGCAAGGCCCCAGGCUCACAUAUGAGGCUGAGGGAUGCAGUGGGGCUGUGGGCAAAUGCACCCCCCAGAGGAAGGGCUCGGGCCAGGCUGACGCUCUGGCCCCUCAGCCAGCCUGUGGCCCCAGGCAUGUGGGUGUCUUCCAGUUGGUCUGGGGGUGCCAGCUCACUCCCCUCCGCCACUGAAGCUGAAGACUCAGACCCCAUGUACACCCAGCAAUGGGGGAGGUGCAGAUAAAAUAAGGAAACAGGUGCUUGCUAACUCAUGAUGACCAUCAACAUUCUCUUGGGGGAUCCCUGGCGGUCCAGUGGUUGGGACUCAGUGCUUUCACUGCUGGGGCCUGGGUUUGAUCCCUGGUCAGGGAACUAAGAUCCCACAAGCCAUGCAGUGCAGCCAAAAAAAAAAAAAAAAAAAAUCUCUUCUCUUCAAAAUUACUACAAACAGUAAACAAAUACAUGGGAAAAUGUUCAGCCUACCAGUAAUCCAAGAAAUGCAAAAUAAAACAUCAGGGACAAAUUGUCAGCUGUUAACCAGCAGCCACUGGGGAAGAAAAGGCACAAGCCCGGGGCUGGUGGAGGCGUGGUGAAGCUGUCCUGCUGUGCACCUGUCUGACCAGCCAGCACAGCAACGUGCAAAAUUAUCAAAAGCCACUCGGACACUACCCUCUGACUCAAUGAUGAUCCCCUCCGGUUCACCAGCCGCAGGAGGAGGAAUGGCCUUCAAAGGAGCCUGUGCUCAGAUCUCUGGGACUUGUAUUACUUUACAUGGCAAGAAGGACCCUACAGACUCAUUAGGGUGGGGACAUGGAGAUGGGAGGUUAUCCUGGAUUUUCAGGGGGACCCACCUAGUCACACAAGCCCUUGGAAACAGAAGGGAAAGUCUGGUGGGGGCUGAAAAGGGAGGGGAAGCUGCCGCUGCUGGCUUAGAAGAGGAAGGGGCCUGACCCGGGGGACGUGGAGUCUUUUAGAAGCCAAGAAGGGCUUCAGGCCACAGCAGCCAAGGAAUCAGGACCUGAGUCCUACAACCACAGGGAACUGAACUCCACCGACACCCUAAGUGAGGAGGAUGUGGAUCCUCCCCAGGCCCCACAAAGGAAAGACCCCUGGAUUGCCGUCUGGUAAGAGCCACAGGCGUGUAACACACUUGUGUUGAUUUAAGUGGCUAAAUUUGUGGUGAUUUGUCCCGGCUGCAAUAGAAAACGAAAACGCUAGAGCCCAAUGGUUCUCAACACUGGAGGAUCCCACCCAGGAACUUCCAACUCAGUGGGUCUGGGAGGGGCCAGAGAAUCUGCAUUUCUUAUGAGUUCUCAUGUGAUGUGGGUGCUGCUGGCCCGGGGACCACACUUAAGAGAACCACUGCUCUCACCUCAGGAAAUACCCAAAAAUACCCAAAAGCUCUAUAAAGCAAAUAUUACUUGAAAUGUUACCUGGAAUAGCCACAACUUGACCAACCCAAAUGUCACCAGUUUGGUGGAAUUCUGCACAGCCACUGGGUGGGGUGGGGUGGGGGUGGGGUGGUCAUCAAACUAGAAGACACGCCCACAACAAACUUGAGCCAGAAACCAAAUGGGAUGAUGCUCUUUCAGGACAAUUAAGUGGAAACCAUGCACAGGUAGGAGGGCUGAAGCUAGUGGCACAGGGCCAGGUUAUGGGAGUUUUUCUUCACCCUUCUCCAUUUUUUCAAAGCUCUGCAAUGUGGUUACAUUAACUUUAUGUAAUUAAAGUUUUUAAUAAUAAUAAAGACAAGUGAAACUCUUCCGUGUGAUACUCUAAUGGUGCAUACAUGCCAUCUGUCUAAACCCACAGAAUGUGCAUCACCAGGAGUGACCCCGGGCCAGUGUAGGGUCAUCGGUUAUAACAAUGACACCCUCUGGUGGAUGCUGAGCCUGGGGAGGCCAUGGUGUGUGGGGGCCGGGGGCACACGGGAAAUCUUCCUGCUCAACUUGGCUGUGAGCCUAA
Molecule: RNA transcript, 3953 nt
Organism: Lagenorhynchus albirostris (white-beaked dolphin)
Lineage: Eukaryota; Metazoa; Chordata; Mammalia; Artiodactyla; Delphinidae
Exons: 4
Source: RefSeq, a predicted model, not a curated record